GAUGAACGCUGGCGGCGUGCCUAAUACAUGCAAGUCGAGCGAACAGACGAGGAGUUUGCUCCUCUGACGUUAGCGGCGGACGGGUGAGUAACACGUGGAUAACCUACCUAUAAGACUGGGAUAACUUCGGGAAACCGGCGCUAAUACCGGAUAAUAUAUUGAACCGCAUGGUUCAAUAGUGAAAUACGGUUUUGCUGUCACUUAUAGAUGGAUCCGCGCCGCAUUAGCUAGUUGGUACGGUAACGGCUUACGAAGGCUACGAUGCGUAGCCGACGUGAGAGGCUGAUCGGCCACACUAGAGCUGAGACACGGUCAAGACGCCUGAGAGAGGCAGCAGUAGGCAAUGUUCGGCAGUGGGCGAGAGUUUGACGGAACAACGCCGAGUGAGUGAUGGAGAUCUUCGGAUCGUAAAACUGUGUUAUUAGGGAAAAACAGAUGUGUAAGUAAAUAAGCACUUAUUGACGGUACCUGGUCAGGAAGCCACGGCUAACUACGUG
Molecule: ribosomal RNA, 497 nt
Filed under: uncultured bacterium
Lineage: Bacteria
Description: partial 16S ribosomal RNA
Rfam family: Bacterial small subunit ribosomal RNA
Source: RNAcentral